This is a long non-coding RNA of Chinchilla lanigera (long-tailed chinchilla), 551 nucleotides long. RefSeq lists it as uncharacterized. The transcript is spliced from 2 exons. The record is from RefSeq and is a predicted model, not a curated record. Lineage: Eukaryota; Metazoa; Chordata; Mammalia; Rodentia; Chinchillidae.
AGUAAGCUCUGUGGAUAUGAGGUAUGUGUUAUGGUCUUUAGUUGACCCAGUUUUGUUGGGGGACAGGAAAAAACUCAUUGUGGAGAGAAACCUAUGAAUGUAUGCAUUGUGACAAUACAAAUUCUUUGUUGCCUCUGCAGUUUCUUCACUCUUGUCUCUUUUGCGUCAGUCAUUUACUAGGUCACAGGAAUUUCAAAGUCAUUUUGUAACAUUUUUCUCCAUGGGUUGUUUGAAAAGAAUUUCUGGCCCCUUGGAUUCCAGGGACCACAGAUCUGAUCCAUAAAUAUCUUGUGAGAAGUGGAAAACCCACAGGCAAGAGUACCUUCCUUAGCACUGCUUUGGACAAGGGCACCCUGACCAGUCAUGAGGUGAUGGUCAACCAGACCACCUUUGCCCAAGAUUGCUUGACAAGGCCCACUUCUGCUUCCCUUAUCCCUGUAAUCUGGGAGCUCGUGUCAACCCUUGAAGACAGGGCUGCAAACACUGGUCCCCUUGUCUUCCCAGUGUAGAUGUAUGCUGAGCCCUGAUUAAAGUUUCUUUCCUGCCUUUCA